This 520-nucleotide ribosomal RNA is filed under the name uncultured Glomus. RNAcentral's name for it is "SSU rRNA". It matches the Rfam family "Eukaryotic small subunit ribosomal RNA", at positions 569 to 1086 of the family's 1831-position model. Lineage: Eukaryota; Fungi; Glomeromycota; Glomeromycetes; Glomerales; Glomeraceae. The record is from RNAcentral.
AGCAGCCGCGGUAAUUCCAGUUCCAAUAGCGUAUAUUAAAGUUGCUGCAGUUAAAAAAGCUCGUAGUUGAAUUUCGGGACCAUCAUGUCGGUCGUGCCUCGGUACGUACUGGCAUUGUUGGUUUCUUCCUUCUGACGAACCAUGAUGUCAUUUAUUUGGUGUUGUGGGGAAUCAGGACUGUUACUUUGAAAAAAUUAGAGUGUUUAAAGCAGGCUCACGCUUGAAUACAUUAGCAUGGAAUAAUGAAAUAGGACGUUUGAUUCUAUUUUGUUGGUUUCUAGGAUUGACGUAAUGAUUAAUAGGGAUAGUUGGGGGCAUUAGUAUUCAAUUGUCAGAGGUGAAAUUCUUGGAUUUAUUGAAGACUAACUACUGCGAAAGCAUUUGCCAAGGAUGUUUUCAUUAAUACAAGAACGAAAGUUAGGGGAGUCGAAGACGAUCAGAUACCGUCGUAGUCUUAACCAUAAACUAAUGCCGACUAGGGAUCGGAUGAUGUUAAUUUUUAAUUAGACUCAUUCGGCGU